ACUUGUUUGUGUGUGAUUGUGUUUUUUCUAAAUCAGCCAGUAUUUUUAUGUUGAUAAACGUUUCUAUUGUUUAGCUAGUUUAUCAACAAUUAAAUGAAGCACAUUUUCAAACCUUUCUCGUUUACAUGAAGCAUGUCUAAAUAUAGGAUUGGUAAGAAUUAUGAGUGACAAGUGAUGGGUUGCUGUCUACAAAUGUUGAACAUCAUCUACAGGGGGUUCGAUAUUGAGAUUUUUUCGUUUAGCCUGGAUUCCAGUGCCAGUAAUUGGGACGCUUGCACUUGCUGGCGUUGUACUGGACAACGACGUCUACACUUGGACGGCUGUGUUUAUCGGCAUUAGUAUUCUCAGGCCCUACCAUACCGACCCCCUCAACAGCUCUAAACGAGAAACCUAUUUAGAAUACAUAUUUAAAAAUUGUUUUUAUAGUUAGCUACGUUAGAAAGCGUCAUAUGGAGGAACUGCUGUAUAAAACGUUUGGCUGACGCCAUUGAAGCAAGGAGAAAUCACGUCGACAAUUUUCAUAAUUUAAUAAGAUUUUAGUCAGGAUUUUAUAAAAAGUAUACAAUUUAAUUGAGCUGUCCAUGAUCGAAACAGUGUUUGUAAAUGUUUUUUUUUCCAAUGUCGUUUACAGCUUUAGAAAAUAUGAGUAGAAAUAUUUCCCUGUUGAUGUUAGUUGUUUAAUGUUAUGUUUCUUUCGCCCUCAGUAGCGAAGAGAGGGUAGGGGAAACUUGUCCCCGGGCGCCGACCUUAGGAGGCGCCAAAAUGGGUUGGGAAAAAUAAAUUGAAAGGUCGAGGGGGGUGCAAAUCGAAAGUUUGAGGGGGGUUGCAAAUCGAAAUCUUGAGGGGGUGUGCAAAUCGAAAAGUUUGUCCCCGGGCGCCGGGAAGGGUUCCUACGCCUCGGUUCGCCCUCGUUGAUUUUUGUUAUGACCAUGACCAAUUUCUCAUUUAUUCAUUAUCAAGCAACUUAUUUUUCAGUUCAUUGAUUACUUGCUGCCUAAACUGUGUUAAAUAUCUGACAGGGAAUGUUGUUUACUGGAUUAUCUUUACCAUUAUCCAAAUCGCAAAAUAUAAAUUAAAUGACUUUUUAACUACUGUUAUGAACAAGUAUGAGGCUUGCUUGCUAGAACGUCCAAGAGUCUAUACAGCUCUGGUGGGUACCUAGAUUUAUUGCGUCUAGACUUUGUAGAACAGAGUAAUUAAUUUUAAAACAUGUUAUGUGCUUGUAUUUCUUUUUUUUUAAUUUUUUCAAAGUAUUCAGCUAUAGUUGCUGUGUUUACAAUUAGUGUAUUUUUGGUUUGGAAUCGGAGUUGCAGCGGUAAUUUUAAGAUUAAUAUUGCUUCUUCCUUCCUUUACUAAUAUUUAUCGUCUAAAAGAAAUAUAACUUCUAUUUUCUUUACUUCCUUUUGUAAAAACACUGACUGUUACAUUAUUUUCGCUUAAUAAAUCGUGAUUUUAAAGUUUACACUGUUAACUCAGUUGACGCUUUUUUCAAAAAUUACCCUACGUUACAGCUCAAACCCAUCAAAUUUUUUUUAUUAUAAUUUUUUUUUCAAUUUUUAUAAAAUUUUAAUAAAUGAUCAUUAGUUUUUUUAAAUAUCAUCAAAUUAUAUGUCAUAUUUAAAAAAAAACUGUAGGAUUUUGUUUUAAGCAUUACAUCAGGUGUAAAAUCAUCUUUUUGUAUUUUACUGUCAAUAUGCGAUAUGUCUGUGAUGUAACAUUUAAUUUGUUUAAAUGAAAUUUGAAAUGCUAUUAAACAGUUGAUGUGUC
This is a long non-coding RNA of Physella acuta, 1767 nucleotides long. RefSeq lists it as uncharacterized. The record is from RefSeq and is a predicted model, not a curated record. Lineage: Eukaryota; Metazoa; Mollusca; Gastropoda; Physidae.